RNAcentral lists this ribosomal RNA (441 nucleotides) under uncultured bacterium. RNAcentral's name for it is "partial 16S ribosomal RNA". It matches the Rfam family "Bacterial small subunit ribosomal RNA", at positions 338 to 795 of the family's 1533-position model. The record is from RNAcentral.
CCUACGGGAGGCUGCAGUGGGGGAUAUUGCACAAUGGGGGAAACCCUGAUGCAGCGACGCCGCGUGGGUGAAGAAGUAUUUCGGUAUGUAAAGCCCUAUCAGCAGGGAAGAAAGAAGACGGUACCUGACUAAGAAGCCCCGGCUAACUACGUGCCAGCAGCCGCGGUAAUACGUAGGGGGCGAGCGUUAUCCGGAUUCACUGGGUGUAAAGGGAGCGUAGACGGCCGUGCAAGCCAGGAGUGAAAGCCCGGGGCCCAACCCCGGGACUGCUCUUGGAACUGUGCGGCUGGAGUGCGGGAGGGGCAGGCGGAAUUCCUGGUGUAGCGGUGAAAUGCGUAGAUAUCAGGAGGAACACCGGCGGCGAAGGCGGCCUGCUGGACCGCGACUGACGUUGAGGCUCGAAAGCGUGGGGAGCGAACAGGAUUAGAUACCCCGGUAGUC